GGGUAGUUUGACUGGGGCGGUCUCCUCCCAAAGCGUAACGGAGGAGCACGAAGGUUAGCUAAUCCUGGUCGGACAUCAGGAGGUUAGUGCAAUGGCAUAAGCUAGCUUGACUGCGAGCGUGACGGCGCGAGCAGGUGCGAAAGCAGGUCAUAGUGAUCCGGUGGUUCUGAAUGGAAGGGCCAUCGCUCAACGGAUAAAAGGUACUCCGGGGAUAACAGGCUGAUACCGCCCAAGAGUUCAUAUCGACGGCGGUGUUUGGCACCUCGAUGUCGGCUCAUCACAUCCUGGGGCUGAAGUAGGUCCCAAGGG
RNAcentral lists this ribosomal RNA (309 nucleotides) under Klebsiella pneumoniae. RNAcentral's name for it is "bacterial LSU rRNA". It matches the Rfam family "Bacterial large subunit ribosomal RNA", at positions 2263 to 2571 of the family's 2925-position model. Lineage: Bacteria; Pseudomonadati; Pseudomonadota; Gammaproteobacteria; Enterobacterales; Enterobacteriaceae. The record is from RNAcentral.